RNA transcript from Corticium candelabrum, 4433 nucleotides. RefSeq lists it as uncharacterized. NCBI's taxonomy places the organism in Eukaryota, Metazoa, Porifera, Homoscleromorpha, Homosclerophorida, Plakinidae. The transcript is spliced from 16 exons. The record is from RefSeq and is a predicted model, not a curated record.
AUGACUGCAGCCUUGGUUUGAGUAGGUCGUCUGUUUGUCCCUAGAAUCAACGAAUCGAGGGAAUGUGCUAGUGCUGACAGCAAGACCUUGUCGAUCAUUGUCACUGCACUGUUUCUCUACUCUAGACGUACGAUUUUGUUGCAACAUCGACUUGUGAUGUCAUUUCCGUUUGAGCAUGUCGGAUGAAUAUGAGCGAUACGUUACUCGCAACAUCGUGCAACUUGUUGAAACGUUGCGUCCGUCGUUGCUAUUAGAACAUUCGGUCGCCAGUAAUCUUGUGACUAUGCAAGAAGCUCGCAAACUAAGACAAUGUUCUACAGAGCAAGACAGCGCGCGAAUGCUGCUCUACGAUAUCCUGCCAUACAAAGAAAACGCCGUCGAUCGAUUUUGCGAGGUGCUCAAACAAGCAGAUCAGUCGCAUAUCGCUAGAGACGUUAUGAAGAGAGGAGGCGUGGUUUGUACAGAUGAGUGUGCAAGUAAUCUGCAGACAGGACGGCAACACAUUAGAAGAGAAGUUAUGGGUAAAGAAGAUGUAGUGGAGAGUGCAAAGUGUAGCAUCAAAGUUGGUGUGAGUGGUCAGAAAGGGUCGAGUCAACGAUUUGUGUCAUCACCGUGCCGACCAUCUGGUAGUCGAUGUGAGAGUGAGAGGAAAGAGGGAACUGCAGCACGUGACUUAGAAGUUGUGAAAACUGCAGUGUGUAGUAGGAAAGUCAAUGCAAGCGUAUGUCGAUGGUUGGAAGAAGAAAGUGUGAGGUCGACAGAUUUCAGUUGUCAUGACGACUGCAAAGAGUCUGCAGCAGUGGAUGUGUGUGGGGAGAGGAAGACGGAGUCACUGGCAGAACAAGUAGAAAGUGAAGAUGAAGAAGAAACGUUAUCAUUUCUAGAUGCAGAAGUGACAACAUCACGUGAUUCAGAUAAUGCGGAGCACACUAAACCAGAGGUCUCACCCAUUGCUUCAGCUUCAUGUGCACAUUCUGAGUUACAGUCUACAACACAGGAAGAUGAGAAAAUCACGUCUCAAUCGACUUUAGUGGAAAUGAAAGGUGGAGACACACAAACAGAGACCGAGAGUGUGAGACAGCCAUUAGUGAUGUGUGAGCAUGCAUGGCUCUCACUCAUGUCUCGUGUUGAGCCGUGGUCAGCUAUUCGAAUGAAUUACUCUUUUCUGUCUCGAUGCCUUUGUUUUACCACUGAAUUUCUCGGCUGUUUGUAUGAACGAUUUCUCAUAUCCAAAGACGACUUCGAUGCUCUAAAGAACAACCGUCUCACUCAAGAAGGAAGAGUACAUCUACUUGUCAUUGAUAUUCUUCCCACUAAACCGAUUGUGAUGUUUGCCACAUUCUGCAACAUUCUUCGUGUUGUCGGUCAGUCACAUGUUGCUGACAAGCUGGAAGAGGAUCCUGUGAAAGUUUCUCUCUUUGCACAAGGGACAACAAUGUCACAAGAAACUGUGAGUCUUCAAAGGCAAGCGGAGCUGCUGCUUGUUCAAGUGUCUCAACUAGACAGGGAAAGAAGAGUAGCCGAGGAAAUGGCAAAACAGGAGAGACGACGAGCUGAUGCUGAAAAGAUACGAGCAGAUGCUGCAGAAACACGAGCUUGUAAUGAGAAAUCUCAAGCAGAUAGUGCAGAGGCUCGAGCAGAUAAUGCAGAGGCUCGAGCAGAUAGUGCAGAAACACGAGCAGAUGGUGCAGAGGCACGAGUGAAGGAAGUAGAGACAGAAAAGAUGGGAAUUGAAUGGACAAAUUUGUCAUUUCGAUGUUAUCAUCAACGUCCAGAUAAUUACAAGCAGAAUGCAUUACCAACAGGCUGGGAGAUGAGGAGGUAUGAUGGGAGAAUCUACUUUGUAGACCACAACACAAGAAGAACAACUUGGAAUGAUCCAAGGGAAAGGAAUGUGAAUGUUGGGUGUAAUGAGAGACGAUUUGAUGAGAUGCAGUCACAGCAAGAGAAUGAAAUCAAUGACAGUCUGCCAUCAUGGACACAGUGGAAUGUACACAUGCCUCAUGACAGUUGGUUUCCAUAUAAUAGAAUGGGAGAGAUUGAAGGCAGACUAGUGGUAGGAGGUGAUGAUGGUAAUCUGCAUGUUCUCACUUAUGAACAUGAUAAGUGGGACAAGUUUGUCAGAAAGAAUGGUGACAUCUGGAAUGUAGUGUGUGAUCAAGGUGUGUGUCUGGUGUGUGUGGAGGAUUUUGAUAAAGAUCAGUUUGUGAUUGAACAAUUUUAUUUGAAUGAAGACAAGAAAUGGCGUUUCCUCACAGUUCUACCAAAUGAACUGCAGUUGUAUUGUGUAUCUGUUGCUCUUCAUGACAACUCACUGUAUGUGGUGGGUAGUGAGACUAAGUCAGGGGAGAGAGUGAACACAGCACGUGUGUGUGACCUUCACAGCGGUCAUUGGUAUAAGAUGGAUGACAUGCAAACAAAACGUAGUUCCUGUUCUUCUGUUAUUAUAAACAACACAGUGUUUGUAGGGGGAGGAUUGACUGAUGGACUUUACUAUAGAAAUAUUGUUGAGUGUGCAGAUGUUCGUGAUAGAAAAUGGAGAACAAUCCCCUCUACAACCACAUAUAGACCUACACUAACGUCAGUCAGUAACAGACUGGUGGGGACUGGAGGAAGGACACAACAGUGGUAUUCUUCUUCUUCUAAUAUUGUAGAAUUAUAUGAUGAGAGAUCUACCAAAUGGCUUCCUCUUCCACUCAUGACACACAAACGGUCGUUACAUGCUGCAUUCUCAACUCAGAAUGGAGAACUCAUCACAGCAGGAGGGUUGGGUGGCUAUUCAAUAGAAAGUCUUAAGUGUGACUAAUAUUUGCAUUUUCUUUCAAUUUGUGUGUAUUUGUUAUAUUAUAAUCUCUAGUGUUUGUAUAAAGACAAUUUGGUGUGAAAUUUAGUGUGUGUAACAUAAACUAGAUCGUGAACGUUGUUUUCUUAAUUAGUAGUCACGUGAUUUGCAUUUUGAACGAGCAGUGGUGAAGUGGAAAAAGGAAUGCAAGCGUUGAACAUCCGGGAGAGUUUGUGGUUAAUUUCUAGCUUUAAAUGUUUGUUCGUGUUCGUUGCUCUCUGGACAAGCGUAGCAGUAAAUCUGGUUUCAUAACGGAAAUCACCGAGAAGGUUAUCGAUGCCAGUCAGUUAAUCAUUGAAAUGUCGACGACGUGAAUGGAUUUUUCUUCAUUUCUCAAUCGGAACUUGUCUGUCUUGCUUUAGUUGGCGAGGUUGGACUUGCGAGAUUGAUAAACGUGGUUCGUAGCUUUGAUAUUCGUGUUGAGAGUGGAGAAAACGACGAAUUGAAGUGAAAGUUGUCAGAGCAAGUCACGUGAUCGAUAGUUUAGAAAUAAAUUUGAGCGAGUGCAAGAUGAGCUGGUGUACGAGCUUUUGACUAGAAACAGUGCCAACGUAAAUAAAUAUACAUAAAUUGUUAUUGUCAUAAAAUUAAUCUAUAUUUAACGCGCGUUAGGUAGAGCGUUUGCGUACACAACCGUUGUAAUAUAUUUUAUUACGUUAAAUAAUUAAUUAAAACAAGGACGAGACGUUAUGUUAAUAUCAAUUCUAUAUCAAGCCAGUUAUGUCUGUGUGGUUUGCAGCUAAUUUUGAGUCUGUGAUUUGAUAUCAUCAAGAGUUGGAGUUUGGCCAUUGCAAAGUGGUCGUUGACUAUUGCACGUGGAGAAGGCUUGAAGGCGUCAGGCUGUGGAGCAUCAAUGACAUCCUCAUUUCCUUAUGGAUCUGGUACGUGUGAUGUUGGCGUGUGGAAUAGAGAAAUGGGCGUGUCAAUAGCUAGACUAUAAUGUCAUUGGACUGACGACUGUCAACGGCACCGAGUUCUUACUGCAAGCUCCAGACACUGAGACUGGAGAUAGUUGGCUGAGGUGAUCGGUGAUACGAUACGACAGCUGGAGCAAGACAAAACGAUUACGAAUCCAAUGGCUGCUGAAUGUGACAUUCGUUCAACUCACAGGCCAUUGCUUGAUGCUCAUAAUAGACUUGGUGGAGGUGACCGUGGUGCAUCUGAGAUUAUGGAUCAUGCCUUCUAUAGCAGCAUCAACUGGCAGGACAUUUACGAUCGCAAGGCAAGUUCCUCCUUCGUUUAUACCGAACGUGUCUGAGCAAGAAAUUGGUGACAAAUACAUUCCUGCCGAGUUCAAGUCGGAUACAGUAGCAAAUACACCAUCAGACCGUGCAGGUGCUCUGCAUGGUGGGGAAGGAGAGCCAUUUGAGCAGUUUACGUUUGUGGGUGACAAAGGCAAUCUGCACACAUGAUUUCGUUUGUAGGAUUUUUGUGGGAUAUCGUACAUUUCAAGUUGAUCGUGAUUGGAUAGGAGGAAUGAACUGUUCUAGAUUCAUGUUUUUAUUAUUCUUGUAUUGUCGUCUAUUAGCAGUGUACGUGAAGUAUUCAACACUAGAAUGUGUUGAGCAGUUAAUUAAAGUGUUUGACAGUG